This 467-nucleotide ribosomal RNA is filed under the name uncultured bacterium. RNAcentral describes it as "partial 16S ribosomal RNA". It matches the Rfam family "Bacterial small subunit ribosomal RNA", at positions 28 to 507 of the family's 1533-position model. The record is from RNAcentral.
GAUGAACGCUGGCGGCGUGCUUAACACAUGCAAGUCGAACGGAAAGGCCCAAGCUUGCUUGGGUACUCGAGUGGCGAACGGGGGAGUAACACGUGGGGGAUCUGCCCUGCACUUCGGGAUAAGACUGGGGAACUGGGGCUAAUAUCGGAGAGGACCACUUCUUGGACGUUGUGGUGGAAAGUUUUUCCGGGUUGGGGUGAGCUGGCGGCCUAUCAGCGUGGUGGUGGGAAGAUGGACUACCAAGGCGUCGGCGGGUAGCCGGCCUGUGGGGGUGUACGGCCACCUUGACUCCGAGGGACGGCCCAGGCUCCUAAUGGUGGCAGCAGUGGGGAAGCUUGCCCGAUCGGCGCAGGCCUGAUGCAGAGACGCCGCGUGGCGGAAGACGCUCUUAUGGUUGUAAACUACUUUCGCUAGGGACGAAGCGCUUUGUGACGGUACCUGAAGAGGAAGCCCCGGCUAACUACGUG